Regulatory RNA element from Cyclobacterium lianum, 102 nucleotides. It matches the Rfam family "SAM riboswitch aptamer (S box leader)". From Rfam's summary of the family: The SAM riboswitch is found upstream of a number of genes which code for proteins involved in methionine or cysteine biosynthesis in Gram-positive bacteria. The SAM riboswitch acts at the level of transcription termination control. Lineage: Bacteria; Pseudomonadati; Bacteroidota; Cytophagia; Cytophagales; Cyclobacteriaceae. The record is from Rfam.
UGCUUAUCGAGAAAGACGGAGGGUAGGGCCCUAUGAUGUCUUAGCAACCUGAUGUGACAAGGUGCUAAUUCCCGUUCCGGAAAAGCCGGAUAAAGAUGAGCC